RNAcentral lists this ribosomal RNA (300 nucleotides) under uncultured Vagococcus sp. RNAcentral describes it as "bacterial SSU rRNA". It matches the Rfam family "Bacterial small subunit ribosomal RNA", at positions 495 to 795 of the family's 1533-position model. Lineage: Bacteria; Bacillati; Bacillota; Bacilli; Lactobacillales; Enterococcaceae. The record is from RNAcentral.
GUGGAGGCCUGGCCGGCGGCUGGGGGAAGACUGAGGGGGGUAGUGUUGUUUGGAAGUACGGGCGGUAAAGCGUACGUAGGCGGCUUUGCAAGUUAGAGGUGAAAGCCCAGUGCUUAAACCUGGAAUUGCCUUUAAAACUGCAUCGCUAGAAUUGUGGAGAGGUAAGUGGAAUUCCGAGUGUAGAGGUGAAAUUCGUAGAUAUUCGGAAGAACACCAGUGGCGAAGGCGACUUACUGGACACAUAUUGACGCUGAGGUGCGAAAGCGUGGGGAGCAAACAGGAUUAGAUACCCCAGUAGUC